Molecule: long non-coding RNA, 1305 nt
Filed under: Oryza sativa Indica Group (long-grained rice)
Lineage: Eukaryota; Viridiplantae; Streptophyta; Magnoliopsida; Poales; Poaceae
Description: lncRNA OsIR64_01g0046310
Source: RNAcentral
AGGGUUUUACUAGUACUCUUCAUCCGCUUGCCGGUCGCCGCCGGCUCGUCGACGGUUGCGGAGCGUUCUGCGGCGGAGCUUGGCGGGGCGAUUUGGGGGCGAGGUUUUGCGGGUUCUUCGACGGUUGCGGGCGUUGAGCGGCGGAGCUGUGGCCACAUGGAGAAAAGUCGGGGCAAGGUCAACAUUACCCCAGAUCUGAACAAAGGAAAAGAAACGGUGAUUCCAUUGCAUAUCACCCGAUUAGAUAUGAGGGAGGUGGAUCAAUCCAGUUAUGUGGCUAGACUAAAGCUCAAGAAGCCUUCUAAUAUGCCACCUUCCACUUUACCUCUGCACUUGCCAGUGAUAGGUUUGGAUGUGAAUAAACCAGAUAACCUACACUGUCUGAUGAUUAUGCAAAAUGUUAAGCACAGGAACGUUUUGCAAAUGGAGGCAGUGAAACAAAUAGUAAUUGGAGAGGCAAAAACACCAGUACUAGCUAUGUUUGUUGAAUCUUUUACUGGGCGUUUGCCAGCACUGCUUCGAAAAAUGAAACUGGGCGGCAUGCAAAUCAUUGAGGGGUGGGAGGAGCUUCGAGUAAAUGGGCUUUAUCAUGGAAAUAUCUGCUUGGAAAAUGUAUAUUAUUGCAAAGAUAAUGAAAAGAUCACCAUCAAACUUGCAAACUUCCAAAGCAAAGGUGCAAUGAGUAAAGAGGCAGCACAAUUGGAAGAUAUCAAUGCAAUUGGUAGGAUGCUUAAGUCUAUUUCCGCUCUGGCAAAGAUAGGCGUACCCCAUCAAGCAGAACGAUACAUGUUAGUUGAUCACCUGGCAAUGAAUUUGGAGUUUCUUGCAAACACCCAGCAAAUAGGAACAAUCAAAGACGUGAUUCUAGAUCAUGUUUUUUUCUGGUUUAAAGAAAGGAGGAAGAGAUUCUUCAUCUAUGAUAUCCCAAAGGCCUUAAAAGAUGCUGCAUUCUGUAACAAUGUCCGCAGAGGACAAACAUGUGUUCUGGAAUGGGACAAAAAGCCACAUCACGGACUUCUAGGCUCAAUGAACAGGUAUAGGAAAACAAAUUUGAAUUUGCCUGCUUAUGAUGGAAAUGACCCAAUUCAGAAUGUGAAAUUUGUGAGUGGAGCAUACACGCAUGAAGAGGAGGUGCAGGAUGAUCUUACAUUUAAUGGGAUGUCCUCAACUGUUGAUGAAGCUGUUCAAUCUGAGCAACCAAUGUUAUGCCUCAACCUAUACAAAUGCCUGUCACCCGAGAUUGAAGGAACUCAGGUGCCGCUCAGGAACCUCGAGCUGGUGUUGGUUAACAAGUCCUGUGUUUAG